UACGUAGGGGCUAGCGUUAUCCGGAUUUACUGGGCGUAAAGGGAGCGUAGGCGGCCGGGUGUGUCGAAUGUGAAAGCCCACAACUCAACUGUGGAAUGGCAUUCGAAACUACCUGGCUAGAGUACUGGAGAGGAGAGCGGAAUUCUUGGUGUAGCGGUGAAAUGCGUAGAUAUCAAGAGGAACACCGGUGGCGAAGGCGGCUCUCUGGACAGAUACUGACGCUGAGGCUCUAAAGUUAGGGGAGCAAACAGGAUUAGAUACCCCUGUA
Molecule: ribosomal RNA, 268 nt
Filed under: uncultured prokaryote
Description: partial 16S ribosomal RNA
Rfam family: Bacterial small subunit ribosomal RNA
Source: RNAcentral